This 3176-nucleotide ribosomal RNA is filed under the name Actinomadura alba. RNAcentral's name for it is "23S ribosomal RNA". It matches the Rfam family "Bacterial large subunit ribosomal RNA". Lineage: Bacteria; Bacillati; Actinomycetota; Actinomycetes; Streptosporangiales; Thermomonosporaceae. The record is from RNAcentral.
ACAGUGGACGCGAGCAUCUUUUUUGUCGCUUUAGUGUUCAAGUUUUUAAGGGCACACGGUGGAUGCCUUGGCAUCAGGAGCCGAUGAAGGACGUGGGAGCCUGCGAUAUGCCUCGGGGAGUCGGCAACCAGACUUUGAUCCGGGGAUUUCCGAAUGGGGUAACCUGGCACUCGUCAUGGGGUGUCGCCGCCGUCUGAAUGUAUAGGGCGGUUGGUGGGAACGCGGGGAAGUGAAACAUCUCAGUACCCGCAGGAAGAGAAAACAAUUGUGAUUCCCUGAGUAGUGGUGAGCGAAAGGGGAUGAGGCUAAACCGUGCACGUGUGAUAGCCGGCAGGUGUUGCGUGUGCGGGGUUGUGGGACGGUUCUUGCCUGAGCUGCCGUUUGGGCGGGGAGUAAGAAAUCACGUGUGUAGUCGAAUGGUCUGGGAAGGCCGACCGUAGACGGUGAGAGUCCGGUAGGCGAAACGCAUGUGACUCCUUUGGAUUGUUCCCGAGUAGCACGGGGCCCGUGAAAUCUCGUGUGAAUCUGCCAGGACCACCUGGUAAGCCUAAAUACUUCCUGAUGACCGAUAGCGGACCAGUACCGUGAGGGAAAGGUGAAAAGUGCCCCGGUGAGGGGUCGUGAAAUAGUACCUGAAACCGUGUGCCUACAAGCCGUGGGAGCUAGCAACACUUUGUGUUGUGUGAUGUGACUGCGUGCCUUUUGAAGAAUGAGCCUGCGAGUUAUGGUGUGUGGCGAGGUUAACCCGUGUGGGGUAGCCGUAGCGAAAGCGAGUCUGAAUAGGGCGCCCGGAGUCGCAUGCUGUAGACCCGAAGCGGAGUGAUCUAGCCAUGGGCAGGGUGAAGCGCCGGUAAGACGGUGUGGAGGCCCGAACCCACCAGGGUUGAAAACCUGGGGGAUGACCUGUGGUUAGGGGUGAAAGGCCAAUCAAACUCCGUGAUAGCUGGUUCUCCCCGAAAUGCAUUUAGGUGCAGCGUUGCGUGUUUCUUGCCGGAGGUAGAGCUACUGGAUGGCCUAGGGGGCCUACAAGCUUACUGAAGUCAGCCAAACUCCGAAUGCCGGUAAGUGAAGCGUGGCAGUGAGACUGCGGGGGAUAAGCUUCGUAGUCGAGAGGGAAACAGCCCAGAUCAUCGGCUAAGGCCCCUAAGCGUGUGCUAAGUGGGAAAGGAUGUGGAGUUGCGAUGACAACCAGGAGGUUGGCUUAGAAGCAGCCAUCCUUGAAAGAGUGCGUAAUAGCUCACUGGUCAAGUGAUUCCGCGCCGAUAAUGUAGCGGGGCUCAAGCACACCGCCGAAGCCGUGGCAUCCCAGCAUUACCCAGGCAUCACUUGUGGUGUCCAGGGGUUGGGGUGGGUAGGGGAGCGUCGUGUGGGCGGUGAAGCAGCAGCGUGAGCUAGUUGUGGAGGCCACACGAGUGAGAAUGCAGGCAUGAGUAGCGAAUGCAGGGUGAGAAACCCUGCCGCCGGAUGACCAAGGGUUCCUGGGCCAGGCUAAUCCGCCCAGGGUAAGUCGGGACCUAAGGCGAGGCCGACAGGCGUAGUCGAUGGACAACGGGUUGAUAUUCCCGUACCCGUGAUCAUGCGCCCAUGCUGAACCUGCUGAUACUAAGAUCGUUAAGCUGUGGUGUUCCUCUUCGGAGGUCGCUGUGGUGGCGUGGUCGGCCUGAGGUGGUAGUAGGCAAGCGAUGGGGUGACGCAGGAGGGUAGCUCAGCCCAGGCGAUGGUUGUCCUGGGGUAAGCACGUAGGGCGCAUCAUAGGUAAAUCCGUGGUGCUUUAAGCCUGAGGUGUGAUGCCGAGCCGUUUUAGGUGAAGUGAGUGAUCCCAUGCUGCCGAGAAAAGCCUCUAGUGAGUGUGAUUGCGGCCCGUACCCCAAACCGACUCAGGUGGUCAGGUAGAGAAUACUAAGGCGAUCGGGUGAACUGUGGUUAAGGAACUCGGCAAAUUGCCCCCGUAACUUUGGGAGAAGGGGGGCCAUUCCUGGUGAGCGCACUUGCUGUGUGAGCUGGGGGUGGUCGCAGAUACCAGGGGGAAGCGACUGUUUACUAAAAACACAGGUCCGUGCGAAGUCGUAAGACGCUGUAUACGGACUGACGCCUGCCCGGUGCCGGAACGUUAAGAGGACCGGUUAGGGACCCUUUGGGUUUCGAGGCUGAGAAUCUAAGCGCCGGUAAACGGCGGUGGUAACUAUAACCAUCCUAAGGUAGCGAAAUUCCUUGUCGGGUAAGUUCCGACCUGCACGAAUGGCGUAACGACUUCCCCACUGUCUCAACCACAGGCCCGGCGAAAUUGCAUUACGAGUAAAGAUGCUCGUUACGCGCAGCAGGACGGAAAGACCCCGGGACCUUCACUAUAGCUUGGCAUUGGCGUUUGGAGCGUCUUGUGUAGGAUAGGUGGGAGACUGUGAAACCUCAACGCCAGUUGGGGUGGAGUCAUUGGUGAAAUACCACUCUGGUCGUUUCGGGCUUCUAACCCGGGCCCAUGAUCUGGGUCGGGGACAGUGCCUGGUGGGUAGUUUAACUGGGGCGGUUGCCUCCUAAAAGGUAACGGAGGCGCCCAAAGGUUCCCUCAGCCUGGUUGGCAAUCAGGUGUUGAGUGCAAGGGCACAAGGGAGCUUGACUGUGAGACAGACAUGUCGAGCAGGUGCGAAAGCAGGGCCUAGUGAUCCGGCGGUGGCAUGUGGAAGCGCCGUCGCUCAACGGCUAAAAGGUACCCCGGGGAUAACAGGCUGAUCUUCCCCAAGAGUCCAUAUCGACGGGAUGGUUUGGCACCUCGAUGUCGGCUCGUCGCAUCCUGGGGCUGGAGUAGGUCCCAAGGGUUGGGCUGUUCGCCCAUUAAAGCGGCACGCGAGCUGGGUUUAGAACGUCGCGAGACAGUUCGGUCCCUAUCCGCUGCGCGCGUAGGAGACUUGAGAGGAUCUGUCCCUAGUACGAGAGGACCGGGACGGACGAACCUCUGGUGUGCCAGUUGUCCUGCCAAGGGCACGGCUGGUUGGCUACGUUCGGACGGGAUAACCGCUGAAAGCAUCUAAGCGGGAAGCCUUCCUCAAGAUGAGGUCUCCCUCCCCUCUUCGGAGGGGGUAAGGCCCCCAGCUAGACCACUGGGUUGAUAGGCCAGAUAUGGAAGCAUCGUAAGGUGUGGAGUUGACUGGUACUAAUAGGCCGAGUGGCUUGAACACACC